CAGGUCUAGACAUCUAGUGCAAUCUGUAGAGAUACGGAGUUCCCUUCGGGGACGCAAAGACAGGUGGUGCAUGGCUGUCGUCAGCUCGUGUCGUGAGAUGUUGGGUUAAGUCCCGCAACGAGCGCAACCCUUGUUAUUAGUUGCCAGCAUUAAGUUGGGCACUCUAAUGAGACUGCCGGUGACAAACCGGAGGAAGGUGGGGAUGACGUCAAGUCAUCAUGCCCCUUAUGACCUGGGCUACACACGUGCUACAAUGGGCAGUACAACGAGAAGCAAGCCUGCGAAGGCAAGCGAAUCUCUGAAAGCUGUUCUCAGUUCGGACUGCAGUCUGCAACUCGACUGCACGAAGCUGGAAUCGCUAGUAAUCGCGGAUCAGCACGCCGCGGUGAAUACGUUCCCGGGCCUUGUACACACCGCCCGUCACACCAUGGGAGUCAGCAAUGCCCAAAGGCGGUG
Molecule: ribosomal RNA, 456 nt
Filed under: Lactobacillus amylovorus
Lineage: Bacteria; Bacillati; Bacillota; Bacilli; Lactobacillales; Lactobacillaceae
Description: bacterial SSU rRNA
Rfam family: Bacterial small subunit ribosomal RNA
Source: RNAcentral